GACGAACGCUGGCGGCGUGCUUAACACAUGCAAGUCGAACGGAAACGCCCUGCUUUUGUGGGCUGCUCGAGUGGCGAACGGGUGAGUAACACGUGAGUAACCUGCCCUUGACUUUGGGAUAACUUCAGGAAACUGGAGCUAAUACCGGAUAGGAGCUCCCGCUGCAUGGUGGGGGUUGGAAAGUUUCGGCGGGUGGGGAUGGACUCGCGGCUUAUCAGCUUGUUGGUGGGGUAGUGGCUUACCAAGGCUUUGACGGGUAGCCGGCCUGAGAGGGUGAACGGCCACAUUGCGACUGAGAUACGGCCCAGACUCCUACGGGAGGCAGCAGUGGGGAAUAUUGCACAAUGGGCGGAAGCCUGAUGCAGCAACGCCGCGUGCGUGAUGACGGCCUUCUGGGUGUAAACCGCUUUCGCCUGUGACGAAGCGUGAGUGACGGUAAUGGGUAAAGAAGCACCGGCUAACUACGUG
This 468-nucleotide ribosomal RNA is filed under the name uncultured bacterium. RNAcentral describes it as "partial 16S ribosomal RNA". It matches the Rfam family "Bacterial small subunit ribosomal RNA", at positions 28 to 507 of the family's 1533-position model. The record is from RNAcentral.